ACUGCACUAACUUUGACAUAUUCUGACCAAGGAUAAAAGAAAUGUUGAAACCUACCAUGGGGUGGUUCCCAUUUAGCUGAAAUGGCCUGUGGUAAUCAAACAAAAUAAAUGUUCAUCCAGGGAGUCCUCCAUGACAGUCUUUGUGAACUUAGGAUGUUCUGAUCCAUCAUCGUCUAUGGCCAGGAUUCCUGCUAGCAAGCUUCCCAGUGCUCUGUUGAAUCCUCUAUUAAAUGUGGCACCUCCACAGACAUAAUUCAGAAGUUUGUUACAUGAGGAUCUCUAUCAAGUUGCACAAUGCCAGCAGAUGGAAUAUGUUUCAUUCCUCCAACAGUUAUUUCUUUUACACAAGGGUAUGGCCUUCUCCCUUUCUUCCAACAUAAAUCAUACGAGUUUUGUGUCUAUGCGCUCUAUUUUCACUAUAUUAAUUUUGUGUAUCUUCAUGUAAAGCAACUCUUCUUUCCAUAAUGUUCUGUUUCUUUGUUGGUGUUCAUUAUUGAUACAUGCUUCAAAAAAUCCAGUAAUUAUUGGAGUAGAGCACAUAUUCAGCAAUACUUUGAUAAUGAAGUCGGUUAUUUGUUUAAGCCUGCUGCGAUCAUGGUGAUGGAACCACUGAGGUAGAAAUGAUUUUGACAAGAGGGACAAAAAUAAUAAGAACAUAGCUUGCACUUCACUACUUAUGGAGGUAUUGGUCACUGUUUAUGAUUCUGCAUUUUAUUUUGUUGAUUGACAAAUAAAUGUCAACAUAUGAGGGUAUCAAAUAUAUUUGAUGAGGUUAAAUAUACCUUCUUUUUAUUGUUUGUGACUAACCACAUGGAACAUUAUAUACUGCUUUGUUAAGGGUCACCCCGGGUGCAGUCUGCAUCAGUUUCUUGAUUCAGAUUUAGCUAAAAUGAUGCACCUUAUACGCGGUUUGGGAGAAUGGGGAAUUUGAUUUCCAUCGAUGAUUUUUAGUCGACUACUGAUUGAAGAAAUUCAAAUGCAACCUUGCUGAUCAUCAUCCACAGGUUUUAAGUAUGUAGAUUACACAACUUUGUGUGUUUAGAGUGCGUAAACCUAAUUCGAUAACAACGCCCUCCAUCGGGUAUAUGCCAGAAUUGGAUGCUGGGAAGCAUCAAAUCUGCUGCAAUGUUGCAUGUUUUGAAGAUGCUAGAUUCCAUGCACAUUUUUUUUUUUUUUUUCAGCCUUACACCUGUAGGAUACUCUGUUCUUGCUUCUUCUGUAUUUGUAACUGUAUCUGUAGUUUCCAUUUUCAUUUCUAUCUUCUUCCAUUAUUCCCUUCUGGGCUUCCAUGGAAAUUUGUGGGUAUGAUCAAACA
Molecule: long non-coding RNA, 1315 nt
Organism: Andrographis paniculata
Lineage: Eukaryota; Viridiplantae; Streptophyta; Magnoliopsida; Lamiales; Acanthaceae
Exons: 5
Source: RefSeq, a predicted model, not a curated record